AAGGUGAAUAGAUAUUCAUUUCAGUUGCAGAAUUUCAGAAGGAAUUUAGUAUAGUGCAGUUGCACUGUAUAUCAAGAACAAAAAGACAAAUCAUGCAUUAGAAACAAGCAUAUGCUUUACUGCAAAGACCCUUCUGAAUCACCAAAAUGUGUCUAUUCUUAGCAAAAACAAGGUUUUGAAGGAAGCUGUACAUAUUUAUUUCUGGAAAAUCAUAAGCACUUUUCUAUCAGAACAUGUCAAAAUGUCAUAGUUAGUGUGUUGAGAAUGCAAUUAUUCAAAAAAAGAAUGCUUCUACUAAAUUUUACUUCGGAGUUCAAAAGGCAAAGUUGAAGGGUGGCAGCUUUGACAAUUCGAGGAAUUCUUCCUUUUUCCAUUUGGGGAAAACACAGUACCUAAGAAAGCUAGAACAAUCCUCCAGGUUAAAAGAAAUAGAAUCUUGUCGUGAUGGAUGCUACAAAAAGCUAAACAUGCUUAAGUCUGAAGCCCAGGAGUGAUAGAUGCUGAUUCGGGUGGAUGAUAUCAGAUGCGGAUGAAGAGGGAGAUCAAUGUGGAAUAAUGAGGAAUACAUGUAUGCUUUGGCAUAUUGUCUUAUAUAGUUCAUGUAUCUUUUGUUGUGGCCCAUCUUCUCUCUUGUGGCUUAAAAUGCAUUGCUCCAAGUUCUUGCAAUUUUACAAACACCAAGUGGUGUGUGU
RNAcentral lists this long non-coding RNA (692 nucleotides) under Physcomitrium patens. RNAcentral describes it as "long non-coding RNA (PPAT_LNC011517)". Lineage: Eukaryota; Viridiplantae; Streptophyta; Bryopsida; Funariales; Funariaceae. The record is from RNAcentral.